Long non-coding RNA from Zalophus californianus (California sea lion), 1967 nucleotides. RefSeq lists it as uncharacterized. NCBI's taxonomy places the organism in Eukaryota, Metazoa, Chordata, Mammalia, Carnivora, Otariidae. The record is from RefSeq and is a predicted model, not a curated record. The transcript is spliced from 7 exons.
UAGAAGAGCUUCUUUGGUAAGAAUUCUUACCCUUUGUCCGCUUUGGCCAGUUUUCCCAGGAUCCCUUCCGCAGGCUCCGGAGGGAGCGCGAUGCCCCAGCGUUCUCGUCCUGGUCACCAGAUACUUUAGACGAGGAAAAAAUAAUUUUCCCUCCCCUCUCAACGGUGAGUGCUUGGCUGAGACGCCUUUUUCUGUAGGGCGCCUCAUAAAUGGAUAAGCUUAUCUACGAUGAAAGUUUACUGUGGCCACCGUAACUCAGGAUUAUCUUUUGUGAGGUUCACCUGCUCGUUCAGUCUUCAAACAAAAAUUCUCACCGGAGGCCUCACACGGGACCCCUUCCGGCCCUGGAGCCAGAGGGUUUUGAAAGCGGACACAGUCCAACCCUGAACUCAGUCCGGUUUCCAAGUCGGACCCAGUCCACGCCGAACUGAGUCCCCUUUCCAAGCUGGACCCAGUCCUUCCCUGGACCCAGUUCAGUUUCCAAGUCGGACCGGGUCUGACGUGGGACCCAGUCAGGUUUCCAAACCGGAACCAGUGUGACCCCGAACUUCGUCCGGCUUUGAAGUCGUAUCCAGUCCGACUGCGGCCAGUUAAUCGAGUUGGGAGAAAGAAGAGCUCCAGUAAAGCUGAGAGCUUUAACGUAAAAGCUGCAGGGCUGGGAUCCCACAGGGAUAUACCCCGACCUCCAGAGGCCGCGAGAAGCCGUGAGAAGCCGCGAGAAGCCGCGAGAAGCCGCGAGAAGCCGCGAGAAGCCAAAGUCGCGAGCUCGAGGGGCUCCACAGUUACCUGUGUCUGGUUGCUCGUCGCUCUUGGGCUCCUUGGGUUCCCUCUUCUGUCUCCAGACCCAUGAAGAGAUAAACCUGAGACAUACUACAAUUUCAAGAGUUUAUGUGAACAAAAAUUGAAUCGAAUGGAGCAACCUCCAAUCUAGCAGAUAGAAAGGAGCUAUGAGGGGCACAAAGACGUUACUUUACAAGCAAAAAAGCAGGAGAAGAAAUUGUGAACUUCCCUAGAAUGGAUGGAAAGAGAAAGCAGGAGCAGACACCUCUCCAAUCUGACCUAUGCACCCUUGAGAGUCCUAUGUUGUCUGACAGAAAAGCCACGUGGGAAGACUUGAUGCUCUUUAUGAUGCCUGGUGCAGCCCUGACACUAGCCACUGAGGUUACAUGUAAUUAUCCACACAUCCUUUCAGAAUAAGUGCCUCUGCCCCUAGCAUACCUGCCAGAUGAAAGGAAAUCAAGACAUUGGCCUAUCUCUGAGAACCAUCUCUGUGGAGACAACAGAAGGUGAAAUACAGAGGAGAACACACACAAGAAAGCAAGACAACCCAUUCCUUUCUGUUGCAUGACUACACUUACGUGAUGCUCGUGUGGAAGUAUGUGCAGACUACAUAGUGGCUCAGUCUCUGGGGGGAGGCAGGAGCCACCAGCUGCACAGAGUAGGAUGCCGGCUUCCCUUGGUAGAGGACCAAGAGGAUCUCUCUGUCUUUGCCAUCAUCAUCACCAACACAUCUGUCAUGUAUUGUUUUCUCGCCUUGUCUGAAUUUGCCAUGCUAUUUCCUCGAGCCCUUGAAUUAAGUACAAGCUGGCUUGGGAACUCCAAGGCAUCCAUGAAAAUGGCGUCCAUGAAAAUGGCUUAGAAUUUUCUGCAGGAAACUUAACACUCCAGGAGUUUGACAUUCCAAAGGUUUGGAACUAUCCACCAACUGUUGGGUGUUCCUGAGAACCAUGUGGUUGCUCAAGAAAUUUCUGUUCCCUCUGUGCCAACUUCCUUUUCCACAAGGGAGUGCCAUAUACCUCCAAGUCCUGUUCAGGGAGAGAACUGGAAAAACAGUGAGACCAAGUGACUCACUUGAGAAGAACAAGCAGAGGGUAGUGCUAAGGAAUCAGACUCUUACUUUAUUGUAAAGUCCAGCCACUUACUUUGCUUUUUAACAAUCUUGAGUGACAUUGAAUAAAAGAUACCAU